AUAUAAAAAGCAACGAUGACGACGACGGGAAUGGCAACAACAAACUCACUUAAUGUUUGACUGAGUGUAUAAAUGGAGGAAUGAAACAAGAUGACACUCUUCUUUAAAUUUUAAUUGCACUCUUUUAUUUGUACAUUUAUGGCAAAUAUAAUUUUUAUUGUCAUAACUGUAGCACCACGGUCACAAAAGAAGAAGGCUUAAACCGCCGAGCCAUCACCACCCUAAUGCAGCGGCAUAAAAAAUGUCGUGCGACAACCACCAUCACUAUUUGCCGUCACGGAAAUCAACAGCACAGAAGUACAUGCAUAGAGGAAACAAACAAACAGUCUGAUGCAUAGGCCUAGACAUAAUUUUUUUAUCUUUUUAAGUAAAAGCCAAGAAGCCAAUUUCAAUUCGGGUGUUUAUGAAAUAAUCACCAGAAAGCGAGAGCGAGCGCAACCUUCAUCACAGCCCCCCGGUACAGACAUGGUGGCGUUGAUGACGGGCGUACCGAGGGACUUGCAUCAGCUGCGCCGGUUACCGUGCAACAGAGCUGGGAAAUUUUUACGACUUCUUCCGUUUGAUGGCUUUUUGUGGGCUCGGAAUGUGUUACGUUUGUGAUUAUAAAUCUGGGCAAAUAAAGUCGUGAACUAUGUAAAACAGCAGCAAACGCACAAUGAUGAUGACGACAACAACAGCAACUACAGUGUGCAUAUGGCUGUGUGUGUGUGUGAAUGUGAAUUUUAACAUACGUUCUGGCAUGGUCAUAAAUCCAUAAAAGUAAAUAAAACUUCCGUAAGUAACAAGUGGGCUUUGCUGCUUUGCUAACUUCAUGUACACGUCCCUCCUCGAGUCAGUCGAACGGCCGGUCGCUCGCUCUUCUCGGUCGGUGGGACUGCUUUUUUGGUGGAAAAUCAAAGCGGAAAGGUGUUAAAUAUUAAAUCUACUCUGGCGUUUAACCACAAUACAUCCACCGGCUGGCUGCCUGUCUGACUGUUGGGUAAUAAACCAAAGUGUGGCAAAGUGUUUAAUUUGUUAUUUAUGAGCAAUUAAUUUUAAAUAAGAGACCAUUAAAUGCACCCAAUGUUUGGCUGCCGCUCAAUGAGGAGAAUGUUAUGGAUCGAUCUAUAAUGAAUGGUGGUUGUUGUUGGAUGCACGCACUGCUCUCGCCAUAAAGUGCAGGUUGUCGUUUUUUACGACGCUAACCCCCAUUAAGAGCCAUUGUCCUGCGGCCAUUAAAUAAUGUGCCUUCAUAAAUGAUAAGAAUGUAAUCAUUGUAAAUUUUAGUAGGAUCAAAUAAUUGAUGUUUCUCUCCUCCUAUAUGCUUCCAUUAAACUCGAGUGUAUGUAUGUUUGCCACCAGAUUUAUAUACCUUUAAUAAGAAAUAAAACUAAUCGCAAUAUUACUCAAUAAAUCUGUUUAUAGUGCA
Long non-coding RNA from Stomoxys calcitrans (stable fly), 1408 nucleotides. RefSeq lists it as uncharacterized. The record is from RefSeq and is a predicted model, not a curated record. The transcript has 3 exons. Lineage: Eukaryota; Metazoa; Arthropoda; Insecta; Diptera; Muscidae.